CAAAAGGCUUUUCUUCAGAGGCAAAGCCAUCCCCAUGUACUAGCGAUUUUUCU
This is a non-coding RNA of Anas platyrhynchos (mallard), 53 nucleotides long. Lineage: Eukaryota; Metazoa; Chordata; Aves; Anseriformes; Anatidae. The record is from Rfam.